AUGGUUGCGGCGGCCGCCGGCGUGCCCCCCUCCUCCCUCCUCCACCUGCGCCUCCCCUCGCCCCAGCCCGCCGCCUCCCCGCCCUCCUCCUCGCCGGCGCUGCUCCGGCCCCUCCUCUCCCUCGCCGCCGCGCCCCAGCGCGCCUCCGUCGCCGCCGCCGCCGCCGACUCCAGCAACGGCAACGGCUCCUACUCCGGUAACGGCAGUCAGGCAUCGCUGAUGCCACAGUUCAGCGGCCUUAUGCUUGAUGAAAGCUCCAGGUCUAAAAGGCCGUAUAAAUGGCAAAGGGUUUUGCUAAAGGUAAGCGGCGAAGCGCUUGCCGGGGAUCAUACGGAAAACAUUGACCCAAAGGUUACAAUGGCAAUUGCAAGAGAGGUUGCUUCCGUCACCAAACUAGGCGUAGAGGUUGCUAUUGUUGUUGGUGGCGGCAAUAUCUUCCGUGGGGCCUCUUGGGCUGGAUGUAGUGGUCUUGACCGCUCCUCGGCGGAUUACAUCGGUAUGAUGGCCACUGUGAUGAAUGCAAUAUUUCUUCAAGCAACAAUGGAGAGCAUUGGGAUACCGACCCGUGUCCAAACUGCAUUCCGUAUUUCAGAAGUCGCAGAACCAUACAUACGCCGAAGAGCAAUCAGGCACUUAGAGAAAGGAAGAGUUGUUAUAUUUGCUGCUGGGACAGGGAACCCAUUCUUCACAACUGAUACAGCUGCUGCUCUCCGUUGUGCAGAAAUCAACGCAGAGGUAGUGCUCAAGGCAACAAACGUUGAUGGUGUGUAUGAUGCGAACCCCAAGCAUAACCCAAAUGCCCGCAUCCUCGAGACAGUGAGCUACAACGAGGUGAUCUCAAGAGACCUCUCAGUAAUGGACAUGACUGCCGUCACACUAUGCCAGGAGAACAACAUUCCUGUUGUCGUGUUCAACCUGCAAAACACUGGAAACAUCGCGAAAGCCAUCGUCGGCGAGAAGGUCGGUACCUUCAUAGGCUGCACAAGGAAUCUGGAAUACCGCGAAAGCACGGAGGGUUCGCUGGAUCAAGAAGACAAGAUCUUGGUUAGUGAGUGGUGA
Molecule: ribosomal RNA, 1059 nt
Filed under: Triticum aestivum (bread wheat)
Lineage: Eukaryota; Viridiplantae; Streptophyta; Magnoliopsida; Poales; Poaceae
Description: partial small subunit ribosomal RNA
Source: RNAcentral